This is a long non-coding RNA of Astatotilapia calliptera (eastern happy), 5106 nucleotides long. The record is from Ensembl. Lineage: Eukaryota; Metazoa; Chordata; Actinopteri; Cichliformes; Cichlidae.
UUCUGCAAGAAAACCAUCGAAGCAGGAGAAAUGGUCAUCGAAUACUCGGGGAACGUCAUUCGGUCUGUGCUCACUGACAAACGGGAGAAAUACUACGAUGGGAAGGGCAUUGGCUGCUACAUGUUUCGCAUCGAUGACUACGAGGUGGUGGAUGCCACGGUGCACGGCAACGCUGCCCGCUUCAUCAACCACUCCUGCGAGCCCAACUGCUACUCCCGGGUGAUCACCGUGGACGGCCAGAAGCACAUCGUCAUCUUCGCCUCGCGCCGCAUCUACUGCGGGGAAGAGCUCACCUAUGACUACAAGUUCCCCAUCGAAGACGCCAGCAACAAGCUGCCGUGCAACUGCGGCGCAAAGAAGUGUCGCAAGUUCCUCAACUGAUGCCCAUACCUGAAGGACCUUAACGAGGACUGUUGAGCAAAAGCACCACAAUGACCCGCAGCACGCGGGUUUGUGGCGAUUUCAUGCGUCUGGUCUAUGAUGGACCACAGCUGCGAGCAGGCCAGGAGCUCCGUCGGCGCCCUCCGCUGAUGGUUUUGAGCACAGCAGGCUCAGCAGCUGUCGGUUGCACUGUAUAUGCAGGAAGGGCCAUUUUUUGGGAGGACGCGCCAUUUGUAGAAAUACCAACAUAUUGUGCCUCCUUAUGUCUCGCUUUCAUUUGGCACUCAGAGGUGAGUCAGAAAGUCAUGUCAGAAAGUUCCCCCUUCAUAAUUUAUUUAUAUUUUUGUUUUUAUGCAUUGGCCCAUCCUCCUUAAUUUUCUAAAUGUCUUGGUCUACUUGUGCUCAGAUGUGAACACAGAAGGAAAAAAAAAUAUCAAAGAACUUGGUUCAAUUUUACACCAAAGUGCAAUUUGUUGAAGGGACUUUUACUAAAGGUAAAAAUUAGAAAAUUGUUAGAAAUUCUUUUAUUUUUCAUGUUGAUCUAAGUGUCAACUGUUAUUGAUGCACAUCUCCCCGUCUGAAUGUGCCUCGAUGCCUUCAGAAUUGUUGUGAUUUUACUGGAACCUUCCCCUAAUCUGACUUUUUGUUUUCCCAAAGAAGAAGAAGGAAAAAAAAGUGUGUAGGUGUGUACAUUUAACACUGUAAAUAGGAGCUGCUCGUGUAUGGCAGCCUGAUCAGAGCCGUACAGGUUGAAACACUAGGGGGAGCAGUCGCCACAGGAAGGAAGAGUGGAAAUAACAAAGAAGGGAGAAAAAGAUUUGUUUUUGUCAGUUUGUGUAAAGGAUGAUAUCUGAGGUUGAUACCAUCUUAAAAUUGACUUUCAGUCUGACAGCUUGGUAGCUACAUGAAAGUGAGAUGAAGCCUCUGGCCUGAGAGAGCGAGGCAGCUAGAGAUUCUGGUGGACUGACAGCCGAGGGACCAGAGAAACCUACUGAUGUGCUUGAGUAGACGUAUUUAUAAUUGAUUUUUCUUUAUUUUUGUGGGAUUGGGGCCUGUUUUCCAGACGCAGAGACGUCUGCAAGUUUGUGCAUGCUGUUGUUGUUAUCAAACUCGUUCGGGUAAUCGUAUAAGCUUGGACUUUUGAGUCACUUUCCAAAUUACAGCAGCAAAGAGAACCAAACUUUUGCGCCCUUGAAUUGAAUUUUUCACUCGGCUUGUUUUCUUCUUGGCCUGUUGUGAUAAACAUACUGAUAGAAAAGAGGAAAAAAAUUAUUUCUUUUUUAUUUGUAUUAAGUCUUCUAAAGUCUUGUCUCUUUGUCUUUUUAUUAUGGACAGGGAAAUAUCAUGCUUGCUUUUAAAAAAAAAAAAUGUAAAUAAUGUAUAUUUUUCUACAAAAAAAACCUUAAAAGCACUCACUAGUGAAUAGCACUUAAUGAUGGUAUUUAUAUUUUUAAAAAAUUGUAUUUAUUUUAUUGCCAUUUUUGUAGAAAAUAGGGGUUUACAAACACUAAUACUUGGUCUCUAUGUUUUGUAUCCCGCUGCCUUCCAGAGUUUUUUUUUUUUUUUUUUAAUAAUUGUUUUUGUUUUCUUUUUAAAAUUCGUACCCUGAAUGUUUUCUUUGAUUCCAAAGACUGAUGCUGGUCUAUCUAUGGCUUGGUCCCCAUUUAAGUUCAGUCCACCAGUAGCUCUUUUAUCUAUCCUGGGCCGUUUGGUCAGAGCUGACAUUUUUUUAUUAUUUUGUUGUUGUUGUUGUUGUUGUUGUUGUUGUUAUUAUUAUUAUUAUUAUUAUUAUUAUUAUUAUUAUUAUUAUUAUUAUUAUUUUAAUUGUUCCAGUCCUAGCUGACAGUAUGGCAGUCAUGUGAACUACUAUUAUGCACUUGAGAGAGAGAGUUUAGAUUGUUGAUCCAUAGCCGACUUCUCCUCUCUCCAGCCUUAUUGUCUCCACACCACAUCAAACCGAGGAUAGAGCCCUUAUGGAGGCGAUUCUAUCAAAGUGGUUCGGUCACUAAUGAGCCAAGGGUCGAUAGGCUUGCAGCCGAUUGGCAAUAUAUGAAAUAUUUACAUGUAAAAACCCCACAAAGAUUCCCGUCAGUUUAAGGCGUUAUGUCCUUGCAAAGACUUUGGCUAUAAUGAAGAGGUGCCUUUAUUUUAAUGCUACUUAUAGCACUCGUCAUAUCCGACUAGAGCCAUUGUAUACAUUAAAAGAAGCAUGGUGUUGUGGUGACUGCUCUUCAAUGCUCACCAGCAGUCUGAGAUCGUUCUUAUACCUUCAUCCAGUCUCCUCGUGGUUCACCUCAGUUCGUAAAUGCCUCUUCUCUCUUAAAAGCCUUCACGUCCUAAACAGAGUAUUUAAACAGAGAGUGACUGGUUCCACUGAGCAACUGAAGCCGAUUGCUCCGUUUGUCCCUUUUAAGGAAUUCGUCAUCGUGACUUCAUUGCCGCCUUUUAAGGUUGUUAGCGGCUCGCCCCUCAACCACCCUCUCAUUUGGUUUUGUAAAAGUGAAGCUAAAAUGGGUUGCACUUUAGCUGUGACACAGGCACUGAACAGGCGUAGGAAAAGCUCCCAAUACUGAAACCAGAAGCACAGACCGUCUCUGAGUUUGUGCAACAGGCCCUGAUAUUUCAAAUUUAUGGAUUGGUGUUGAUGACUCCGACAGUGGUGUUUGAGGCUCUAGCAAAGUGCACUUGACUCUGUUUUUAUUUACAUUUUUUAUUGUUUUACUUCAACAAAGUGAAGGCAGGGACCACACCAGCAGCCCUCUCCUUCCUGACGGUGUGGCGUGUACAAACCUCGGCUGCGCCUUUCCCACCGAGAGCCCUGACGCCUCCGCCGGCGGGCCAGCCGGGCGUACACAGUCCUACACUGACAACCGGGCUUGCUGGGUUCUGCUGCUAAAGGUCAACGAUGAAUGUAUAUUCUUCCUCCACAUCACCCAACGUGGGUGGAUGUUGAUGCUUUGUCAGCUAUAUUCGUUUAGGGGUUUUUUUUGUUGCUUUUUUUUGUUUGUUUGGUUUUUGUUUGGUUUUUUUUUUUUGUUAAGUUGUCGUGUCAGCAACCCCUGGUAGAUGUGGAAGACAUGUCGAUACGACCUCAAAGCCAGGGAGCAGUUUCAUUUCAGCACUGGGAUUAACACUGAGGCGUAAAACAGCGGGCAGUGUUUUCUGUCUGUAGGACAACAGGUUAGCUCAAACAGUUCACGCUAGCGUCGGCCGGCGCCAAGGGCUCUGUCUACGACUCUCUCUUCACGAGAGCCACUUCUGCUUUUUUCAGGGUCAGAGUGUGUUUAUUGACGACAAGUCAUUUAUUUCACCGUUUUUAAAACGGCAUAGAUACAAAUAAGGAAGCUGUCUGCUGUUUCUUUGGUCUUCAUUUUACCACGCCACACCAGUGGCACUUCUACGUCAUUAUCUGUAAUUAUAGUAUAAAUACUUAACAAUAUUAUACGGAAACAUGCAUAGUAAUUUCUUGUACUUUAGUAUCUAUACAAUAUAUGGAAUGGACAGACAAACUUAGUUACAGUAGCAAAAACAGCAGAUUUAUAAUGGUUAAUAGCAAUGUUUCAAUGUACUCUAUAAUGGUUUUGUGUUACAGUACUAUCCGCUGAAUCUAACGUGCAUCACUCUUUUGUAUAUUGAUAUCCAGUACCAGUUUUGCUGUGCCUGUGAGCGCUCCUCCUCCUCCGCAGCAGCAGGGAGCGUUGCAGUUCUUUUUGUUUUAUUUCUGGAAAGGAACUUUUUUGGGGGAAGGGGGGGGGGGGGGGGGUAGUUUCUUGUUUGUUUGUUUGUUUGUUUUUUGUUGUUUUUUUUUUUAAUGUGAUGAGAAAUGUAACUGUAUUAAUGUGGUUGUGAACUUCUUGAGGUCAUCCAUUUUUUCUGGUUGUUGUAGUGAAUGUUUUUUCUUUUUUAAUUUUCUUUUAUUAUUUUUUUAAUUUAGUUUUUUUAAUGUUUUAACAGGGACUUUUUAGACUGCUUACUUGAUGCGGUAAAAAUUAGGAGAUGGGUUUGUGGAGGCUUACCAGGAUUUUAAAGAUACCACCAAAAUGGCGUUUUUCUUUUAAUUUAAUUUUUUUUUUUUUUUUUUUUUUUUUUUGGUUUUUUUUGAUCAGGUUUUUUUUUCACGUUGGAAACCUCUCUCGUCUCCCUGACCACCUCUUUAUCUCUCUCUCCUAUGAAGCUUUUGGUUGUACUUAUCAUGUACUGUUUUUUGUAGAAAGUCAUAAUGCUGAUGUUGAAAACAUUUAAUUUAUUUAUUUCGUGCAACAUCCACCCUGAAUUGUUCUUUUACAAAUCAAGGUUUUGGAGAGGUCAGACAAGUACUUAAACCUGUAUUUGUAAUUUUUCUGAUUGUUUCACAUGUAUAGACGUUAUCAGCCUAGGGUGGGUUGCGGUGUCGCAGUAGGACGUGGAAAAGAGGGAUCACGAACGGGCUAGUUUGUUUCGCCUUGAUUAUCUGCCGUUGUCUUAUCAUUUUCUUCCCGCUCUCUGUAAUAACGGUAUUCACAGCAGUCAUAUUUUCUCCCAUAAAACAGGCGAUCUUUCUUUGUACACAUCAACGAAAUGAAGGAAAACCACCACCGUGAAAAUAAACCACAAACUACUUGGUUGAAUGUAUAAUUUGGAAACAAAGUUGUACAUAAGUGUAAAAAGAAAAGUUUCUAAUCAUGUUUAUUUUCUAUGCACUUUUUUAUUUAAGUGAUAGUUUAAAUAAUAAACAUGUCUCCUUUA